Molecule: ribosomal RNA, 721 nt
Filed under: uncultured Oceanobacillus sp.
Lineage: Bacteria; Bacillati; Bacillota; Bacilli; Caryophanales; Bacillaceae
Description: bacterial SSU rRNA
Rfam family: Bacterial small subunit ribosomal RNA
Source: RNAcentral
GCCGCGUGAGUGAGAAGGUUUUCGGAUCGUAAAACUCUGUUGUUAGGGAAGAACAAGUAUGAUAGUAACUGAUCAUACCUUGACGGUACCUAACCAGAAAGCCACGGCUAACUACGUGCCAGCAGCCGCGGUAAUACGUAGGUGGCAAGCGUUGUCCGGAUUUAUUGGGCGUAAAGCGCUCGCAGGCGGUCUUUUAAGUCUGAUGUGAAAGCCCACGGCUUAACCGUGGAGGGUCAUUGGAAACUGGAGGACUUGAGUGCAGAAGAGGAGAGUGGAAUUCCAUGUGUAGCGGUGAAAUGCGUAGAGAUAUGGAGGAACACCAGUGGCGAAGGCGACUCUCUGGUCUGUAACUGACGCUGAGGAGCGAAAGCGUGGGUAGCGAACAGGAUUAGAUACCCUGGUAGUCCACGCCGUAAACGAUGAGUGCUAGGUGUUAGGGGGUUUCCGCCCCUUAGUGCUGAAGUUAACGCAUUAAGCACUCCGCCUGGGGAGUACGGCCGCAAGGCUGAAACUCAAAAGAAUUGACGGGGACCCGCACAAGCGGUGGAGCAUGUGGUUUAAUUCGAAGCAACGCGAAGAACCUUACCAGGUCUUGACAUCCUUUCGCCCUCCCUAGAGAUAGGGAUUUCCCUUCGGGGACGAAAGUGACAGGUGGUGCAUGGUUGUCGUCAGCUCGUGUCGUGAGAUGUUGGGUUAAGUCCCGCAACGAGCGCAACCCUUG